Molecule: ribosomal RNA, 852 nt
Filed under: Triticum aestivum (bread wheat)
Lineage: Eukaryota; Viridiplantae; Streptophyta; Magnoliopsida; Poales; Poaceae
Description: partial small subunit ribosomal RNA
Source: RNAcentral
AUGGUGGGCGCUGGUCGGGAGCGCGCCGAGGCCCCUUCUUCGUCGGCGCAUGGUGCGAGGUCUUCCAUUCCACACGCACCUCUCCGCCGAGUGUUGCUGGACAGUAUGGCGACACCGUCGGGCCCUUCUUCGUCGACCGCGGUGCCCAGCAGGGGACGAGGUAAGAAGAAGAGAGGAGGUGGAGCACGUGGUCGCGGGAGAGAAGGUAGGGUGACUCUUACGGCGCCUUCCUCGCCGCCGCCCCCAGCUGUUUCACCCGAGCACGUGACUGCUAGGGUGGACUCGUCUGAGGAGGAGGCUGCACAGACUCCGGUCCACGAGCCUCUGGUCCACGGGUCUUCGGCCCAUGAGCCUCGGGUCGACGGGCCUUCGGCCCACGAGACUUGGGCCCACGAGACCCCGGAGGAGCACACGUCUGGAUGGGGUAACUGGUCGGGUCAGCCUAAGGAGCCGAGUGGCCAUGCUGAUGAUGGCGGGGAGCCGAGUGGCCAUGCUGAUGAUGGCGGGGAGCCGAUUGAUUUUGAGGAGGAGGGGGAGGAGGGGGGCAACGUCUACCAGCAUGGUGCUACACGGCUCCCGUCCGUGCCGGCGACCCGCGAGAAGAGGUGGUUGAUUUUCCCUGAUGGGGAGAGGGGUUGGGACCACCAUGAAAGUGUCCGCCGGCCCAAGUACGUCCUUGGAGUUCUGAUUCGGCAAAACUUCCCGGGGUUUGUCACGUUGCCUGGUGAGGGUCGGCUUCCAGAGGUUGGAUUGACUUGGGAGCACUACUUGGCUGCCCCGGCCCCGCCGGGUGAGAUUAUCGACGGUGUCUUGUGCAAGACGAGGGCAGACGUGGUGAUCAGAAAGUUCUAG